CAGUCGUACUUAUGGGUAAUCAGCCUUUUGGGUGUGAUUUUGUGGAGCGUGAGGAGUUAAACGCCUUCAUGCCUGCAUAUUCGUGCACUUUGGGUGUACUUGCCCGUGUGUAAGUUAACAUCAAUUUUGGUGGUCAUAAAAUGACUGGAGGAAUGUAGCUUCGAUCUUGUAUUGAAGUGUUAUAGCCUUUGGUAGAUGUGAUGAUCGGGAUUGAGGAUUGCAACGGAUACCCGUUCGGGGCUACUCGUCUGAUCUCUGAAGGUUGCUCCGGUGCCGAAAGCGUGCUUACGGUCAUCGAAAGUGA
This 304-nucleotide ribosomal RNA is filed under the name Rhizophagus irregularis. Lineage: Eukaryota; Fungi; Glomeromycota; Glomeromycetes; Glomerales; Glomeraceae. The record is from RNAcentral.